This 393-nucleotide ribosomal RNA is filed under the name Triticum aestivum (bread wheat). RNAcentral describes it as "partial small subunit ribosomal RNA". The record is from RNAcentral. Lineage: Eukaryota; Viridiplantae; Streptophyta; Magnoliopsida; Poales; Poaceae.
AUGCAGGUGAAAUGUUUCUUCCUUUGGGUCGAUGCUCUAGCCAAGACUCUGAUGAAUGAACUGCAAGAAGAGCAUGAAGAAUGGUUGCCCAUGCUGCUACGAAAGGCAGUGGUCGCAGCACGAGCUCCGGAAGAAGAGACGGAGGGCGAAGCAUGCAAUGAUAGAGAGCUAGCUGUUGAGCUUAGGAUGUUGAAGAAGAAGGUAAGGAAUCUUGAAGAUCAAGCACAAAUACCCAUUUGCAAUUACUUUUGGGCAUUUGUAGGUAUGGUAAUCGCACUUGGUGUAAUUUUGAAAUUAUAUGGAAAUGCAUGCAUUAUGGAGGAAUUUGUAAGCUUGAAAUUGUAUGAGAAAUUCACCUUAUUUAAAUAUUGGUCAAAGUUGUUUAAAUGUUGA